This 944-nucleotide long non-coding RNA is filed under the name Marmota monax (woodchuck). Lineage: Eukaryota; Metazoa; Chordata; Mammalia; Rodentia; Sciuridae. The record is from RNAcentral.
UGCAGAGUCUCUAUCCUCUUGGCUGAGUAAUAGGAUAUGAUGCCAGGUGUUUCCCAUCAUUUUGGACUUUCAGCCAAGGGUCAAAGCUAUAAACAACAGUUGUUCAGUGUUCCUGUAUUCUAGAGCGCUCUGACAGGCCUCCUGCACUGCCUCUGAGGACGUCAGAGGAGACCUUGGGAAACUCUUAACACAUCAGUCUAGUUCCCAGCUAAACCUCCCCAAUGGAUCAUCCCCUCCCCAGCUAAACCUCCUGAACACAUCACCUGUCCCCAGCUAAGCCUUGUGUCUCAUCCCUGACCUUUGGAUAUAUGUGGGGAGAACGCUGUGCUGGCAGAAGGCCAAGAGUCAGCUUGUUGGAGCACAGUAUGGCUGGGGAGAUGUGACUUCCUUUCCUCCCCAAUGGCUCUCCUCCACAUAGAUGGAUAGGAAAGACCCCAGAGCAUCCCUCAUGGGGGCCACACUGGAAGAGGUGGUGGUGGCUGGCUGGUUUCCAGUUAGAUGCUUGCUGGUCCACAGAACGGAGAGCCCAUGUGAGGACAUGCCAUGGGUUAGGAAGUGAGAGAGCUCUGAGACAGCUGGAGACACUUCCGGCAUCCUAUGUGACUAGAGAGGCUGGGUGCCCACGGGGAGCCUGGGUCAGGAGGGCAGAAUGUCUGAGAAGACAAGACAUCCUGGCCAACCCAGUUCUCUAGGACCUCAGUGGUGCCAAGAGGGCCCACUUGAGCAUCUCCUGAUCUCCAUGGAACGACACAGAAGGGGUGAGGAUGGGCAGGGCCUUGGAGUGCCUAGAGAGGGAAAUGGGGACUUGUUUGCUCCAUUCGGGACCAAAAGGAGAAAGCUCCUUUUCUGGAAGUUCCUCAGAGAUAGAGAGCUGGGUGAAGCUGAACACCACCUAACGAGAGCAACACUCACCGUCUACUCAGAGAUCAGGAGGACCCCCAGAC